Molecule: long non-coding RNA, 1575 nt
Organism: Dalotia coriaria
Lineage: Eukaryota; Metazoa; Arthropoda; Insecta; Coleoptera; Staphylinidae
Exons: 5
Source: RefSeq, a predicted model, not a curated record
GUGUGUUGGAAGUUCAACUAGGCUGGUCAAGCAAACCAGUUGGUGUUCCUAUUGGAGAUGAUAACAAUGAAAGGAGAGAGAAAUUUACAAUUCUGACUGCUGCAACUUGUUGAACUAGAUUAGAAAAUUAGGUAUUGGUUAAUUGGUUAGGUCAGGCUAGUGAUGUUAAAUAUUCUUGGUGAUAACUUUGGAAUUAGAAGGAAUUUUGGAAUUCUGAUUGCAGAAGAUUAAUCAGCAGGUCCGAUCACAUCUGUUGACAUGUUUUAUAAGAGAGUUGAGUGGAUAUUUUAUGCUUAAACUGAGGUGGUGCAUGAAGUUAAUAUGCAAAGCAGGAAUCACAGCAAAAUUAGCAAGUAAAUCAAAGCCUGCAAACAGGAGGAAUGAAUAUAUGAGUUUAUGACAACACAAUCUUCAAAACUAUUUAAUUAGCUUUCAUUUGAUAUGAAAUUUGUUUAAUUUGAAAGAAAAUUAACAAAGUUAUGGGCAGAAGAAGAAACAAAAACAAAAAAUUAUUAAACUUGUCAUUAUCCACAUCUAUCAACUAUACAUUUCAAUGGAAGCAUGGUCGUACUAGGAUUGAAUAGGAUGUCUUACAAGAACAAAAAUGUUAAGGAAGUCCAACUGAACUAGUCAAGCAAACCAGUUGGUGUUCCUAUUGGAGAUGAUAACAAUGAAAGGAGAGAGAAAUUUACAAUUCUGACUGCUGCAUCUUGUUAGACUAGAUUAGAAAAUUAGGUAUUGGUUAAUUGGUUAGGUCAGGCUAGUGAUGUUACAUAUUCUUGAUGAUAACUUUGGAUUGAGAAGGAAUUUUGAAAUUCUGAUUGCAGAAGAUUAAUCAGCAGGUCCGAUUACAGCUACAGAGAUGUUUUAUAGGAGAGAUGAGUGGAUAUUCCAACUGAACUAGUCAAGCAAACCAGUUGGUGUUCCUAUUGAAGGUGAUAACAAUGAAAGGAGAGAGAAAUUUACAAUUCUGACUCCUGCAACUUGUUAGACUAGACUAGAAAAUUUGGUGGUAUUGGUUAAUUGGUUAGGCCAGGUUAAUAAUAUUACAUAUACUACAUUACAUAUUUGGUGAUAACUUUGGAAUUAGAAGAAAUAUUUGAAUUCUGAUUGCAAAAAGUGAAUCAGCAGGUCCGAUUACAGCUAUAGACAUGUUUUAUAAGAUAGAUGAUUGGAUAUUUUUGCUUAAACUGAGAUGAUGCAUGAAGUUAAUUUGCAAAGUAGGAAUCACAGCAGAAUUAGCAAGGGAAUCAAAGCCUGCGAACAGGAGGAAUGAAUAUAUGAGUUUAUGACAACACAAUCUUCAAAACUAUUUAAUUAGCUGUCAUUUGAUAUGAAAUUUGUUUAAUUUGGAUGAUAAUUAACAAAGUAAUGGACAAAACAAGAAACAGAAUCAGAUAAAGCAAAAAUUUGUCAACACCUCUCAUCAAAUAAACAUUUAAAUGAAAGCCAUUCACCAGAAGCAUUAAACAAAAGGGUUUAGAGGAGCAAAAUCUUAAAGCCAAGUUAUUUUUCUUUCAUUAGAUAUAACAUUUGUUCAGAUUGGAUCAAAAUUAAACAAAGUAUAAGCAAAAA